This 253-nucleotide ribosomal RNA is filed under the name uncultured bacterium. RNAcentral describes it as "partial 16S ribosomal RNA". It matches the Rfam family "Bacterial small subunit ribosomal RNA", at positions 524 to 776 of the family's 1533-position model. The record is from RNAcentral.
UACGUAGGGCGCAAGCGUUGUCCGGAAUUAUUGGGCGUAAAGAGCUCGUAGGUGGUGUGUCGCGUCUGCCGUGAAAGCCCGGGGCUUAACUCCGGGUCUGCGGUGGAUACGGGCAGACUAGAGGCAGGUAGGGGAGAACGGAAUUCCCGGUGUAGCGGUGAAAUGCGCAGAUAUCGGGAAGAACACCUAUGGCGAAGGCAGCUCUCUGGGACGGUACUGACGCUGAGACGCGAAAGCGUGGGGAGCGAACAGG